This 321-nucleotide ribosomal RNA is filed under the name uncultured Chelatococcus sp. Its description in RNAcentral is "bacterial SSU rRNA". It matches the Rfam family "Bacterial small subunit ribosomal RNA", at positions 1138 to 1458 of the family's 1533-position model. Lineage: Bacteria; Pseudomonadati; Pseudomonadota; Alphaproteobacteria; Hyphomicrobiales; Chelatococcaceae. The record is from RNAcentral.
CUUUAGGGGGACUGCCGGUGAUAAGCCGAGAGGAAGGUGGGGAUGAUGUCAAGUCCUCAUGGCCCUUACGGGCUGGGCUACACACGUGCUACAAUGGUGGUGACAAUGGGCAGCGAAAGGGCGACCUGGAGCUAAUCCCCAAAAGCCGUCUCAGUUCAGAUUGUACUCUGCAACUCGAGUGCAUGAAGGCGGAAUCGCUAGUAAUCGCAGAUCAGCAUGCUGCGGUGAAUACGUUCCCGGGCCUUGUACACACCGCCCGUCACACCAUGGGAGUUGGUUCUACCCGAAGGCGCUGCGCCGUCCACAAGGAGGCAGGCGACC